RNAcentral lists this ribosomal RNA (447 nucleotides) under uncultured bacterium. Its description in RNAcentral is "bacterial SSU rRNA". It matches the Rfam family "Bacterial small subunit ribosomal RNA", at positions 355 to 825 of the family's 1533-position model. The record is from RNAcentral.
UCGGGAAUUUUGGACAAUGGGCGCAAGCCUGAUCCAGCCAUGCCGCGUGGAUGAUGAAGGCCUUAGGGUUGUAAAAUCCUUUCGUUGGGGACGAUAAUGACGGUACCCAAAGAAGAAGCUCCGGCUAACUUCGUGCCAGCAGCCGCGGUAAUACGAAGGGGGCUAGCGUUGUUCGGAUUUACUGGGCGUAAAGCGCGUGUAGGCGGACUUGUAAGUUGGGGGUGAAAUCCCGAGGCUCAACCUCGGAACUGCCUCCAAAACUACAAAUCUGGACCUAAGUAGAGGCAAGUGGAAUUGCGGGUGUAGCGGUGAAAUGCGUAGAUAUCAAGAGGAACACCUGAGGUGAAGACGGGUUGCUGGGCUGACACUGACGCUGAGGCGCGAAAGCCAGGGGAGCAAACGGGAUUAGAUACCCGUGUAGUCCCUGAGCGGGCUGGCAAGGCGCAU